CAGUCGCCGCGGUAAUCCGUAGGUGGCAAGCGUUGUCCGGAAUUAUUGGGCGUAAAGCGCGCGCAGGCGGAUAGGUCAGUCUGUCUUAAAAGUUCGGGGCUUAACCCCGUGAUGGGAUGGAAACUGCCAAUCUAGAGUAUCGGAGAGGAAAGUGGAAUUCCUAGUGUAGCGGUGAAACGCGUAGAUAUUAGGAAGAACACCAGUGGCGAAGGCGACUUUCUGGACGAAAACUGACGCUGAGGCGCGAAAGCCAGGGGAGCGAACGGGAUUAGAUACCCGAGUAGUCCCUGUCUCUUAUACC
Molecule: ribosomal RNA, 301 nt
Filed under: uncultured bacterium
Lineage: Bacteria
Description: partial 16S ribosomal RNA
Rfam family: Bacterial small subunit ribosomal RNA
Source: RNAcentral